UUCUGCCCUAUCAACUUUCGACGGCUGGGUAUUGGCCAGCCGUGGUUACAACGGGUAACGGAGGGUUAGGGCUUGACCCCGGAGAAGGAGCAUGAGAAACGGCUACUACAUCCAAGGAAGGCAGCAGGCGCGCAAAUUACCCAAUCCCGAUACGGGGAGGUAGUGACAAUAAAUACUGAUACAGGGCUCUUUUGGGUCUUGUAAUUGGAAUGAGUACAAUUUAAAUCCCUUAACGAGGAACAAUUGGAGGGCAAGUCUGGUGCCAGCAGCCGCGGUAAUUCCAGCUCCAAUAGCGUAUAUUAAAGUUGUUGCAGUUAAAAAGCUCGUAGUUGAACCUUGGGCCUGGCUGGCCGGUCUGCCUCACCGCAUGCACUGGUCCGGCCGGGUCUUUCCCUCUGGGGAUCCGCAUGCUAUUUAUUUAGUGUGUCGGGGAACCAGGACUUUUACUGUGAAAAAAUUAGAGUGUUCAAAGCAGGCCUAUGCUCGAAUACAUUAGCAUGGAAUAAUAGAAUAGGACGUGUGGUUCUAUUUUGUUGGUUUCUAGGACCGCCGUAAUGAUUAAUAGGGACAGUCGGGGGCAUCAGUAUUCCAUCGUCAGAGGUGAAAUUCUUGGAUCGAUGGAAGACUAACUACUGCGAAAGCAUUUGCCAAGGAUGUUUUCAUUAAUCAGGAACGAAAGUUAGGGGAUCGAAAACGAUCAGAUACCGUUGUAGUCUUAACCAUAAACUAUGCCGACUAGGGAUCGGACGAUGUUAUUUUUUGACUCGUUCGGCACCUUACACGAAAGUAAAGUUUUUGGGU
This 801-nucleotide ribosomal RNA is filed under the name Phragmoporthe conformis. Its description in RNAcentral is "SSU rRNA". It matches the Rfam family "Eukaryotic small subunit ribosomal RNA", at positions 305 to 1112 of the family's 1831-position model. The record is from RNAcentral. Lineage: Eukaryota; Fungi; Ascomycota; Sordariomycetes; Diaporthales; Gnomoniaceae.